This 680-nucleotide ribosomal RNA is filed under the name uncultured bacterium. Its description in RNAcentral is "bacterial SSU rRNA". It matches the Rfam family "Bacterial small subunit ribosomal RNA", at positions 62 to 783 of the family's 1533-position model. The record is from RNAcentral.
UCGAACGAAAGCUUUAUGCUUUAGUGGCGAACGGGUGCGUAAUACGUGAGAAUCUGCCCUUAGGAGGAGAAUAACUUCUGGAAACGGUUGCUAAGUCUCCAUAUGCCGAGAGGUAAAAUAGUUUAUACUGCCUAGGGAUGAGCUCACGCCUGAUUAGCUUGUUGGUAAGGUAAUGGCUUACCAAGGCCACGAUCAGUAGCUGGUUUGAGAGAACGAUCAGCCACACUGGGACUGAGACACGGCCCAGACUCCUCCGGGAGGCAGCAGUGAGGAAUUUUCCGCAAUGGGCGAAAGCCUGACGGAGCAAUACCGCGUGAGGGAUGAAGGAUUUUGGUCUGUAAACCUCUUUUCUCAAGAAAGAAGUUCUGACGGUACUUGAGGAAUAAGCAUCGGCUAACUCCGUGCCAGCAGCCGCGGUAAUACGGGGGAUGCAAGCGUUAUCCGGAAUCAUUGGGCGUAAAGCGCCUGUAGGUUGUUUAAUAAGUCUGUUGUUAAAGACUAGGGCUCAACCCUAGGAAAGCAAUGGAAACUACUAGACUUGAGUAUGAUAGGGGUAGAGGGAAUUUCUAGUGUAGCGGUGAAAUGCGUAGAUAUUAGGAAGAACACCGGUGGCGAAGGCGCUCUACUGGAUCAUUACUGACACUCAGAGGCGAAAGCUAGGGUAGCAAAAGGGAUUAGAU